Podarcis lilfordi (Lilford's wall lizard) is the source of this 297-nucleotide non-coding RNA. Lineage: Eukaryota; Metazoa; Chordata; Lepidosauria; Squamata; Lacertidae. The record is from the annotation of a GenBank genome assembly.
CAGCAGGGUUGGCUCAGGAUCCAAUGGAUCCCAUGCUGGCUCAGCCCCUUCCGCAUUUGGGGGGGUUCAACGCUAGCUGUUGCUAACAGAGAUAGUGAGAUAACUCAUGCAGCAGAAGUUGCCCCCAGUUACUGUCACCACACAGAGGCAGCUUAUGGUCCAAAAUAGUUUACUGCUGCAGAAAAUCAGGCUUCAGUAAUACAGCCCCGGACAGCCUGUAGGCUUUGUAGAUAGAGAUAUGUACAAAUAGAAAACAUUUAUGUUGCUCUAGCAAUCUGGCCUUCCAGAUGUUGGGUU